This 253-nucleotide ribosomal RNA is filed under the name uncultured bacterium. RNAcentral describes it as "partial 16S ribosomal RNA". It matches the Rfam family "Bacterial small subunit ribosomal RNA", at positions 524 to 776 of the family's 1533-position model. The record is from RNAcentral.
UACGUAGGUGGCAAGCGUUGUCCGGAUUUAUUGGGUUUAAAGGGUGCGUAGGCGGUCUGUCGCGUCGGCUGUGAAAACCCGGAGCUCAACUCCGGGCCUGCAGUCGAUACGGGCAAACUGGAGUGUUGCAGGGGAGACUGGAAUUCCUGGUGUAGCGGUGAAAUGCGCAGAUAUCAGGAGGAACACCGGUGGCGAAGGCGGGUCUCUGGGCAACAACUGACGCUGAGGAGCGAAAGCGUGGGGAGCGAACAGG